ACUGCAUGCGCUGGCAGCUCUGGCGAGGAGGCAUUUGCUGCCUCGUCUCCUCCUGCCACCCCGCAUUGCACCUUCCUGCAGCUCUCACCUCCCACCCCACCGGUGGUGGCUCUGUUGGGAAACCCAUCCUCGGGCUACGUCUGUCACACGUGGGCAGCCCAGAGAGGUGGCGAUGGGGCUGAGAGCGUUUCCAGGGCAGGGACUCGCUUUGGACGUGGGAAACACAGAGGGGAGAAGUGGUACAGCAUGAUGUCACCAAGGGAGGUGUGACAAGGAUUCCAGGGGUUCCUUCUGUGCAAGAUCCAGAGUGCCCAUGUGCUGCUCCCUGGGGAUGAAGCAACCAUCUCUUCUCCAAAAUCCCUCAGUCCAUCCAAAGUUCUUCACCAAGAAGCAACCAGGCAUGCGCUCCCAGCACAUGGAGGGGACAGGCUGCCAGUACAGCCUCAAAGGACCCUGAGCAUCAGUAGAGCAAUAAGCCUGAGGCUUCUCUUGUGAUCCACAUGGUGCCAGCCUGGAGCUCAAGCUCCUCUUCCUCAUGGCUGUGCUACUCCCUUGUCCAGCUGCAGCAUCCCUGGGACAUCCUACUGCCACCACCUUGUCUUCUCCCUUGGAAUCAAGGUCUUCUCCAGACAGGGCUCAAACACUCCCAGGACAGGGAUGCCCCAGUACCCAGGGACCCAUCGCAGGGUGGCGGCAACCCACAGCACCAGAGGAUGAUGGAGGUGACAGGGACCUCAGGGUCCCACCCUGGUCCCACCCUGCUCCAGCAGGGACCCCAGGGCUGGUGCAGCCCCAUGUGAGCACACGAGUCCCAAAGAGGCCGGGCAGCGAGCGGGGAAGGAUUUAUUGACCGAGGGCCGGGGUACAUCACAGUUUGAGUUCCCUUCCCGCCUCCGCAGAGGACGUCGCGUUGGACUUCCCGGGCAAAGUGUGCGGAGAGGCUUCACAGUUUCAUCCUUCGGUAAAGCAGAACUGAGGCAGUGACAAAUGGCAAACUACGUCGUAUGAAAAAAUAAUACAAACUCUUCUCUUUAAAUAUC
This is a long non-coding RNA of Gallus gallus (chicken), 1040 nucleotides long. RefSeq lists it as uncharacterized. Lineage: Eukaryota; Metazoa; Chordata; Aves; Galliformes; Phasianidae. The transcript is spliced from 3 exons. The record is from RefSeq and is a predicted model, not a curated record.